ACCCAAUUGACCUGGGUCUAUCACAAUGGAUAUUUUUACCAUUUCUGCAAAUGGAAGCAAUGACAGAGUGUGUCAGCCCUACUAAUCUUGUUAGAUCUCCAAGAGCUCCUGAAUAUCCAGAUGCAGACCUUGACAGGGUUAUCCAGGUUUUGUCAUCUUGUGGAUGGAUUACUGCAAUGCACUCUGCAUAGAGCUACAUUUGAAAUCCAUCCAGAGGUCAUAGCUAGAGCAAAAUGCAGGGUAUUAAGCAUUACAAGAGGUCAGAAAAUGGGAAA
Mauremys mutica (yellowpond turtle) is the source of this 275-nucleotide long non-coding RNA. RefSeq lists it as uncharacterized. The record is from RefSeq and is a predicted model, not a curated record. NCBI's taxonomy places the organism in Eukaryota, Metazoa, Chordata, Testudines, Geoemydidae. The transcript is spliced from 3 exons.